GUAGGGAAUCUUCCACAAUGGACGAAAGUCUGAUGGAGCAACGCCGCGUGAGUGAAGAAGGUCUUCGGAUCGUAAAACUCUGUUGUUAGAGAAGAACGUGCAUGAUAGUAACUGAUUAUGUAAUGACGGUAUCUAACCAGAAAGCCACGGCUAACUACGUGCCAGCAGCCGCGGUAAUACGUAGGUGGCAAGCGUUGUCCGGAUUUAUUGGGCGUAAAGGGAACGCAGGCGGUUUUUUAAGUCUGAUGUGAAAGCCUUCGGCUUAACCGAAGAAUAGCAUUGGAAACUGGAAGACUUGAGUGCAGAAGAGGAGAGUGGAAUUCCAUGUGUAGCGGUGAAAUGCGUAGAUAUAUGGAGGAACACCAGUGGCGAAAGCGGCUCUCUGGUCUGUAACUGACGCUGAGGUUCGAAAGCGUGGGUAGCAAACAGGAUUAGAUACCCUUGUAGUCC
RNAcentral lists this ribosomal RNA (450 nucleotides) under uncultured bacterium. Its description in RNAcentral is "partial 16S ribosomal RNA". It matches the Rfam family "Bacterial small subunit ribosomal RNA", at positions 354 to 796 of the family's 1533-position model. The record is from RNAcentral.